RNAcentral lists this ribosomal RNA (253 nucleotides) under uncultured bacterium. Its description in RNAcentral is "partial 16S ribosomal RNA". It matches the Rfam family "Bacterial small subunit ribosomal RNA", at positions 524 to 776 of the family's 1533-position model. The record is from RNAcentral.
UACGUAGGGUCCGAGCGUUGUCCGGAAUUAUUGGGCGUAAAGGGCUCGUAGGCGGUCUGUUGCGUCGGGAGUGAAAACUUACAGCUUAACUGUGAGCGUGCUUCCGAUACGGGCAGACUUGAGGUAUUCAGGGGAGAACGGAAUUCCUGGUGUAGCGGUGAAAUGCGCAGAUAUCAGGAGGAGCACCGGUGGCGAAGGCGGUUCUCUGGGAAUAUCCUGACGCUGAGGAGCGAAAGUGUGGGGAGCGAACAGG